CAGCAGUCGCCACGGUAAUACAGAGGGUGCGAGCGUUAAUCGGAUUUACUGGGCGUAAAGCGUGCGUAGGCGGCUUCUUAAGUCGGAUGUGAAAUCCCUGAGCUUAACUUAGGAAUUGCAUUCGAUACUGGGAAGCUAGAGUAUGGGAGAGGAUGGUAGAAUUCCAGGUGUAGCGGUGAAAUGCGUAGAGAUCUGGAGGAAUACCGAUGGCGAAGGCAGCCAUCUGGCCUAAUACUGACGCUGAGGUACGAAAGCAUGGGGAGCAAACAGGAUUAGAUACCCCGGUAGUCCCUGUCUCUUAUAC
RNAcentral lists this ribosomal RNA (304 nucleotides) under uncultured bacterium. RNAcentral describes it as "partial 16S ribosomal RNA". It matches the Rfam family "Bacterial small subunit ribosomal RNA", at positions 506 to 807 of the family's 1533-position model. The record is from RNAcentral.